This 253-nucleotide ribosomal RNA is filed under the name uncultured bacterium. RNAcentral describes it as "partial 16S ribosomal RNA". It matches the Rfam family "Bacterial small subunit ribosomal RNA", at positions 524 to 776 of the family's 1533-position model. The record is from RNAcentral.
UACGGGGGGGGCAAGCGUUGUUCGGAAUUACUGGGCGUAAAGGGCUCGUAGGCGGCCAACUAAGUCAGACGUGAAAUCCCCAGGCUUAACCUGGGAACUGCAUCCGAUACUGGAUGGCUUGAAUUCGGGAGAGGGAUGCAGAAUUCCAGGUGUAGCGGUGAAAUGCGUAGAUAUCUGGAGGAAUACCGGUGGCGAAGGCGGCAUCCUGGACCGACAUUGACGCUGAGGAGCGAAAGCUAGGGGAGCAAACGGG